Molecule: non-coding RNA, 489 nt
Organism: Labrus bergylta (ballan wrasse)
Lineage: Eukaryota; Metazoa; Chordata; Actinopteri; Labriformes; Labridae
Source: RefSeq, a predicted model, not a curated record
CGUGAGGUUCACAGCCACGAGCAGGCGGAACUUUUCCCGCAGAACACAAGUUGUGAGCCUGAGGAAGAUAACUUUCGUCGAGUUAUUAUUGUCUUUAUGAAUCUCCGGUUGUUUUUUUCUUAAGUACCAGAACAUGCUGUAGAUGAACUUGAUGGCGAGCCCAGCCUAUGAAUCUGAGGGGAGUCGAUUACGCAGUGUGGCCAGCUGCAGGACCUGCUCAGAGGACGUCGGAUUGCUUGAUUCAUUCGAUUCCAGAUAAGACACGUACACGCUUAUUAACCUACCCGGGUAGUAAUAGUAGACAUUGACAUUGAACACACACAUCUGGAUUUUUCCCCGAAGUUAAACUCUUUUGAACUCCUUUUUGCAUGUUGAACUUUUCUCACAAUUCCUCUUCAUAGAGGAGCAUUCGAGCUGGGAGUCCAACUCGAAAAGCACAAUUUCUUUUGGUUUUGUUUUACUUUCACAGAACUCUAUUUUUUUUCUAUG